UUCUCGCGAAUCUUUCUCUCUUUACUCUCGACGGGGUGAUAGUAAUCCUAAAUUUCAAUUUCAGUAACCAUAAAUUCAAAAUUAGCUCUUGGAAUUUAGAAUACUGGCCAUUGUUGAUCGAUGCGUAGGUCAAGGAUCUUCAAUUUGAUCCAAUAUGAGUUUCAAUUUGUUCAAUUUCUAUGCUGAGCGGCUUGUGUCUGAUGCUUCUGAGAAGAAACACUCCAAAUCUUGCAUUGCUCAAGCCAUAUCAGCAUCUCGGUUGAGGGUACAUGUUGUUUGAUAUUAAUCUUCUCAAAGCAAGGCUUGGUCAAGGAAAAUACAAAGUUCUCUAAAACAAAACGAGGAAGGCCUUGCUAUGUCUUCCACGCCAUAAGCACAUUAAGUUCAUAUCACAGACUGCUAUCCUUGAGUUAAAAUGUUGAGUUGCGGAUAGAGGGAGAUCACUAUUUGAAGGCGUUCUUAGGGAAUACCCGAAAAGAACAGACUUGUGGAGUGUAUAUCUGGACCAUGAGAUCCGGCUGGGAGAAGUGGAUGUAAUUAGAUCUUUAUUCGAGAGAGCCAUUAGCUUGAGCUUGCCUCCUAAGAAGAUGAAGUUCUUGUUCAGAAAGUACUUGGGAUAUGAGAAAUCUGUUUGUGACGAGGAGAGAGUCGAAUACGUGAAACAGAGGGCGAUGGAAUAUGCAGACAAUACCUUGACCUGAGAUUUUGUUGUAACAAAUUCCCAAUUUUUGUAAAAAUUCUAAAAUUUUGAGAAGCAACUAUUUGAGCAAGGCUGUCUAAAAUUUUAAAAAUAUUAUUUUAGUGAAGGAAUGAUUUGGGGUUCUCUA
Camelina sativa (false flax) is the source of this 827-nucleotide long non-coding RNA. RefSeq lists it as uncharacterized. NCBI's taxonomy places the organism in Eukaryota, Viridiplantae, Streptophyta, Magnoliopsida, Brassicales, Brassicaceae. The record is from RefSeq and is a predicted model, not a curated record.